GCGCCGAAUGCCAAAUCCGGUUCGGCAACUGUCUGUAAAACAGUGGCUUUCACGAGCGUGAAGGUUCAAAUCCUUCUCGGCGCACCA
RNAcentral lists this transfer RNA (87 nucleotides) under Pyrinomonadaceae bacterium. RNAcentral's name for it is "tRNA-Tyr". It matches the Rfam family "tRNA". From Rfam's summary of the family: Transfer RNA (tRNA) molecules are approximately 80 nucleotides in length. Their secondary structure includes four short double-helical elements and three loops (D, anti-codon, and T loops). Lineage: Bacteria; Pseudomonadati; Acidobacteriota; Blastocatellia; Blastocatellales; Pyrinomonadaceae. The record is from RNAcentral.